GACGAACGCUGGCGGUGUGCCUAAUACAUGCAAGUUGAGCGCUGAAGGUUGGUACUUGUACCAACUGGAUGAGCAGCGAACGGGUGAGUAACGCGUGGGGAAUCUGCCUUUGAGCGGGGGACAACAUUUGGAAACGAAUGCUAAUACCGCAUAAAAACUUUAAACACAAGUUUUAAGUUUGAAAGAUGCAAUUGCAUCACUCAAAGAUGAUCCCGCGUUGUAUUAGCUAGUUGGUGAGGUAAAGGCUCACCAAGGCGAUGAUACAUAGCCGACCUGAGAGGGUGAUCGGCCACAUUGGGACUGAGACACGGCCCAAACUACUACGGGAGGCAGCAGUAGGGAAGCUUCGGCAAUGGACGAAAGUCUGACCGAGCAACGCCGCGUGAGUGAAGAAGGUUUUCGGAUCGUAAAACUCUGUUGGUAGAGAAGAACGUUGGUGAGAGUGGAAAGCUCAUCAAGUGACGGUAACUACCCAGAAAGGGACGGCUAACUACGUG
This 497-nucleotide ribosomal RNA is filed under the name uncultured bacterium. RNAcentral describes it as "partial 16S ribosomal RNA". It matches the Rfam family "Bacterial small subunit ribosomal RNA", at positions 28 to 507 of the family's 1533-position model. The record is from RNAcentral.